RNAcentral lists this ribosomal RNA (1366 nucleotides) under uncultured bacterium. RNAcentral describes it as "bacterial SSU rRNA". It matches the Rfam family "Bacterial small subunit ribosomal RNA", at positions 28 to 1381 of the family's 1533-position model. The record is from RNAcentral.
GAGUAAGGCUGGCGGCGUGCCUAACACAUGCAAGUCGAGCGGCACGGAGUUUUAUGCUGAAUUCUGGAAGCUUCUAGUUAAAAGAGAGGAUUUAUUCAAGAAUUUUGUGUGAAAUGUCGGCGAGCGGCGGACGGCUGAGUAACGCGUGGGAACGUACCCCAAAGUGAGGGAUAACGCAUCGAAAGGUGUGCUAAUACCGCAUAUGGUCUUCGGAUUAAAGCCUUCGGGCGCUUUGGGAACGGCCUGCGUAAGAUUAGAUAGUUGGUGGGGUAAUGGCCUACCAAGUCGACGAUCUUUAACUGGUUUGAGAGGAUGAUCAGUCAGACUGGAACUGAGACACGGUCCAGACUCCUACGAGAGGCAGCAGUGAGGAAUCUUCCACAAUGGGCGAAAGCCUGAUGGAGCCACGCCGCGUGCAGGAUGAAGGCCUUCGGGUUGUAAACUGCUUUUAUAAGUGAUGAUUAUGACCGUAACUUAUGAAUAAGGAUCGGCUAACUACGUGCCAGCAGCCGCGGUCAUACGUAAGAUCCGAGCGUUAUCCGGAGUGACUGGGCGUAAAAAAUUUGCGUAGGUGGUUUAAUAAGCGAAUAGUGAAAGCUGGUGGCUCUUCCAUUCAGACUAUUAUUCGAACUGUUGAACUCGAGAGCAGAAGAGGUAGCUGGAAUUUCUAGUGUAGGAGUGAAAUCCGUAGAUAUUAGAAGGAACACCGAUGGCGUAGGCAGGCUACUGGGCUGUUUCUGACACUGAGGCACGAAAGCGUGGGGAGCGAACCGGAUUAGAUACCCGGGUAGUCCACGCCGUAAACGAUGGAUACUAGCUGUUUGGGGUAUCGACCCCCUGAGUAGCGAAGCUAACGCGUUAAGUAUCCCGCCUGUGGAGUACGAUCGCAAGAUUAAAACAUAAAGGAAUUGACGGGGACCCGCACAAGCGGUGGAUCAUGUUCUUUAAUUCGAUGAUAACCGAUAAACCUUACCAGGUCUUGACAUCCUUGGAAUCUUUCAGAAAUGAGAGAGUGCUUUCUAAGAGCCAAGUGACAGGUGAUGCAUGGCCGUCGUCAGCUCGUGUCGUGAGAUGUUUGGUUAAGUCCAUCAACGAGCGCAACCCUUGUCAGUAGUUGUAUUUUUCUACUGAGACUGCCCCGGUAACGGGGAGGAAGGAGGGGAUGACGUCAGGUCAGUAUUUCCCUUACGUCCUGGGCUAGAAACGUGAUACAAUGGCUAGUACAAUGCGCAGCGAAGCCGCGAGGUGAAGCAAAUCGCAUCAAAGCUAGUCCCAGUUCGGAUUGUAGGCUGAAACUCGCCUGCAUGAAGUCGGAAUCGCUAGUAAUCGCAGAUCAGCAUGCUGCGGUGAAUACGUUCCCGGGUCU